RNAcentral lists this transfer RNA (79 nucleotides) under Peptoniphilus lacrimalis 315-B. RNAcentral describes it as "tRNA-Pro". It matches the Rfam family "tRNA". Rfam says of the family: Transfer RNA (tRNA) molecules are approximately 80 nucleotides in length. Their secondary structure includes four short double-helical elements and three loops (D, anti-codon, and T loops). The record is from RNAcentral. Lineage: Bacteria; Bacillati; Bacillota; Tissierellia; Tissierellales; Peptoniphilaceae.
UCGGGGUGUAGCGCAGUUUGGUAGCGCACAUGGUUUGGGACCAUGGGGUCGAAGGUUCAAAUCCUUUCACCCCGACCAU